GGUUUAAAGGGUGCGCAGGCGGACAUUCAAGUCUGCGGUCAAAUUCCGGGGCUCAACCCCGGCCAGCCGUGGAAACUGAAUGACUUGAGUGGGCGAGAGGUAUGCGGAAUGCGCGGUGUAGCGGUGAAAUGCUUAGAGGUCGCGCAGAACUCCGAUUGCGAAGGCAGCAUACCGGCGCCUUACUGACGCUCAGGCACGAAAGCGUGGGGAUCGAACAGGAUUAGAUACCCUGGUAGUCCACGCAGUAAACGAUGAAUGCUGGUUGUUCGGGCCGACUGAGGCCUGAGUAACGUAGUGAAAACGUUAAGCAUUCCACCUGGGGAGUACGCCGGCAACGGUGAAACUCAAAGGAAUUGACGGGGGCCCGCACGAGCGGAGGAACAUGUGGUUUAAUUCGAUGAUACGCGAGGAACCUUACCCGGGCUCAAACGGGAGCGGACGUGCGGAGAAAUCCGCAUUUCUUCGGACCGCUUCCGAGGUGCUGCAUGGUUGUCGUCAGCUCGUGCCGUGAGGUGUCGGCUUAAGUGCCAUAACGAGCGCAACCCCUGCGGACAGUUGCCAUCAGGUAGAGCUGGGCACUCUGUCCGGACUGCCGGCGCAAGCCGUGAGGAAGGCGGGGAUGACGUCAAAUCAGCACGGCCCUUACGUCCGGGGCGACACACGUGUUACAAUGGGCGGCACAGCGGGAAGCCAGGUGGUGACACCGAGCAGAACCCGAAAGCCGUUCUCAGUUCGGAUCGGAGUCUGCAACCCGACUCCGUGAAGCUGGAUUCGCUAGUAAUCGCGCAU
RNAcentral lists this ribosomal RNA (789 nucleotides) under uncultured Bacteroidota bacterium. RNAcentral's name for it is "bacterial SSU rRNA". It matches the Rfam family "Bacterial small subunit ribosomal RNA", at positions 557 to 1349 of the family's 1533-position model. Lineage: Bacteria; Pseudomonadati; Bacteroidota. The record is from RNAcentral.